Molecule: non-coding RNA, 62 nt
Organism: Mus musculus (house mouse)
Lineage: Eukaryota; Metazoa; Chordata; Mammalia; Rodentia; Muridae
Source: Rfam
UAGGGGAAUCAGGGCUCGGACCCCCUCCCCGAGCCUAGGGUAACCCUGAUGGUAGAGGGGAC